AAAUUGAAGAGUUUGAUCAUGGCUCAGAUUGAACGCUGGCGGCAGGCCUAACACAUGCAAGUCGAACGGUAACAGGAAGCAGCUUGCUGCUUUGCUGACGAGUGGCGGACGGGUGAGUAAUGUCUGGGAAACUGCCUGAUGGAGGGGGAUAACUACUGGAAACGGUGGCUAAUACCGCAUAACGUCG
RNAcentral lists this ribosomal RNA (187 nucleotides) under Salmonella enterica subsp. enterica serovar Derby. RNAcentral describes it as "partial 16S ribosomal RNA". It matches the Rfam family "Bacterial small subunit ribosomal RNA", at positions 1 to 181 of the family's 1533-position model. RNAcentral also lists the same sequence under 12 other names. Lineage: Bacteria; Pseudomonadati; Pseudomonadota; Gammaproteobacteria; Enterobacterales; Enterobacteriaceae. The record is from RNAcentral.